ACACGACUCUCGGCAAUGGAUAUCUCGGCUCUCGCAUCGAUGAAGAGCGCAGCGAAAUGCGAUACGUGGUGCGAAUUGCAGAAUCCCGCGAACCAUCGAGUCUUUGAACGCAAGUUGCGCCCGAGGCCAACCGGCCAAGGGCACGCCUGCCUGGGUGUCAAGC
RNAcentral lists this ribosomal RNA (163 nucleotides) under Dendrobium gratiosissimum. RNAcentral describes it as "5.8S ribosomal RNA". It matches the Rfam family "5.8S ribosomal RNA". From Rfam's summary of the family: 5.8S ribosomal RNA (5.8S rRNA) is a component of the large subunit of the eukaryotic ribosome. It is transcribed by RNA polymerase I as part of the 45S precursor that also contains 18S and 28S rRNA. The record is from RNAcentral. Lineage: Eukaryota; Viridiplantae; Streptophyta; Magnoliopsida; Asparagales; Orchidaceae. RNAcentral also lists the same sequence under 1 other name.